Xiphophorus hellerii (green swordtail) is the source of this 686-nucleotide long non-coding RNA. RefSeq lists it as uncharacterized. The record is from RefSeq and is a predicted model, not a curated record. NCBI's taxonomy places the organism in Eukaryota, Metazoa, Chordata, Actinopteri, Cyprinodontiformes, Poeciliidae. The transcript is spliced from 2 exons.
AAAUCAAAAUGUGUUGAAACCUGGUUGAGGUAAGAGGCCACUGAAGUUAGGGUUAAGUCCCAGCUCGAUAAGACGUUCCUAGCCAGACUUUGACUAGGUCGAAAAAUGAACGGGAGUCUAUGGCAGCUACAUGAAAGGAAUGGGCUAGGACCACCAAACAUGGCGGGGACCUGCAGAGGGUUGGAGGGAGAAUACGAAUCAAGUUUGGUCAAAUGAGCACUUCUUUUUGUACUUCACCAAUUUUCCAUUCUGUGUGCACCACCCAGGUCCGUUUAACAGUUUCAGGACCUGACCAGCACCCCUCAGCAUCAUUUGCUUGAGAAAUAAUGAGAUUUGGAACCUAUUGGAACUUCUUCAUCUUGCCUGAACUACCAGAGACUGUCAGGAUCUGCGGCUUCAGCAGUUCCUCUGGUUUCCUUCUAGGUGGCGUUCGAGAGCUCGCUGCCGUAUUCACACACCCUCUCCACAGGUGUGUUUCGGCACACCUGUGGAUCAUCAGCGGGAGCAUAUUAGGAGCGGGUUCCCGGCACUUCGUCGCCAAAGUGUUGUCGCCUUUGUGGCUCCCUGUUGUCUGGACACUCCAUGCGAAGUACGGGAUUUGCAGUUCCAUCCGCUGAGCUCCCUGACGAGUUACGCCCACCUACCAGCUGUUCGAUCACACCGGUCCGCUCCUGAUCAGACGCUCC